CACAGCACUUUGCCAACUCGUAAGAGGAAGUAUAAGGUGUGACGCCUGCCCGGUGCUCGAAGGUUAAGAGGAUGCGUCAGUCGCAAGAUGAAGCGUUGAAUUGAAGCCCGAGUAAACGGCGGCCGUAACUAUAACGGUCCUAAGGUAGCGAAAUUCCUUGUCGGUUAAAUACCGACCUGCAUGAAUGGCGUAACGAGAUGGGAGCUGUCUCAACCAGAGAUUCAGUGAAAUUGUAGUGGAGGUGAAAAUUCCUCCUACCCGCGGCAAGACGGAAAGACCCCGUGGACCUUUACUACAACUUAGCACUGCUAAUGGGAAUAUCAUGCGCAGGAUAGGUG
This 338-nucleotide ribosomal RNA is filed under the name Helicobacter pylori. RNAcentral's name for it is "bacterial LSU rRNA". It matches the Rfam family "Bacterial large subunit ribosomal RNA", at positions 1814 to 2149 of the family's 2925-position model. Lineage: Bacteria; Pseudomonadati; Campylobacterota; Epsilonproteobacteria; Campylobacterales; Helicobacteraceae. The record is from RNAcentral.